CCUACGGGUGGCAGCAGUGGGGAAUAUUGGGCAAUGGGCGCAAGCCUGACCCAGCAACGCCGUGUGAAGGAAGAAGGCUUUCGGGUUGUAAACUUCUUUUGACAGGGAAGAGUAGAAGACGGUACCUGUCGAAUAAGCCACGGCUAACUACGUGCCAGCAGCCGCUGUUACCUGUAGGUGGCAAGCGUUGUCCGGAUUUACUGGGGGUAAAGGGCGUGUAGCCGGGUUGACAAGUCAGAUGUGAAAUCCUGCGGCCUAACCGCAGAACUGCUAUUGAAACCGUUGGUCUUGAGUACUGGAGAGGUAGGCGGAAUUCCUAGUGUAGCGGGGAAAUGCGUAGAUAUUAGGAGGGACACCAGUGGCGAAGGCGGUUUACUGGACCGCAACUGACGGUGAGGCGCGAAAGCGUGGGGAGCAAACAGGAUUAGAUACCCGAGUAGUC
This 442-nucleotide ribosomal RNA is filed under the name uncultured bacterium. RNAcentral's name for it is "partial 16S ribosomal RNA". It matches the Rfam family "Bacterial small subunit ribosomal RNA", at positions 338 to 795 of the family's 1533-position model. The record is from RNAcentral.